GUUUGAACCUUGAUUUUUAAAAAUGUUUAAAAUAAGAUUUGGCGCAGAAUGCUUUAUAGGUUUUCUAUUAGGCUAAUUGACCAUAAAAAAAAUCUCAAAACUCUUUUGCAUAUUUGCAAUUAAACAAUUUUACCAUAAUUUGAAUAAUUAGUUUCAAUUAUACGCGAUUAGUCAAAAUUGAAAUAGAAAUAAUAUUUAUUAUUAAUUUGAUAUAAAUCUUAAAAAUAAACUUUAAUUUCUUUUCCUCGUCCAUUCUUCUGUUUACUUCCCUCCCCUUCUUUGUACCUCUCACUCAAUACUAUUGAAAACUCAUGAACUUCUUUCCCUCCUUCUUUGACAAAUCAAGAUUGACACUAUUGUUGCUUGCUUUUUUCAAAUGGAGAGUUUAUUAUGCUCUCUUAGCUCCACUUAAAUAAGCACUUCUUCAACACCGCCUCAAUAACACCAAGAGAGAGAGAGAGGAAUUUUUGGGAUGGGGAUGAAAGGAGAGAGGGGGAGAGGGGGGAGAGGAAU
RNAcentral lists this unclassified non-coding RNA (513 nucleotides) under Hevea brasiliensis (rubber tree). The record is from RNAcentral. Lineage: Eukaryota; Viridiplantae; Streptophyta; Magnoliopsida; Malpighiales; Euphorbiaceae.